AUUGAACGCUGGCGGCAGGCUUAACACAUGCAAGUCGAGCGGGGUGAUGGUGCUUGCACUAUCACUUAGCGGCGGACGGGUGAGUAAUGCUUAGGAAUCUGCCUAUUAGUGGGGGACAACAUCUCGAAAGGGAUGCUAAUACCGCAUACGUCCUACGGGAGAAAGCAGGGGACCACUUGUGACCUUGCGCUAAUAGAUGAGCCUAAGUCGGAUUAGCUAGUUGGUGGGGGAAAGGCCUACCAAGGCGACGAUCUGUAGCGGGUCUGAGAGGAUGAUCCGCCACACUGGGACUGAGACACGGCCCAGACUCCUACGGGAGGCAGCAGUGGGGAAUAUUGGACAAUGGGGGGAACCCUGAUCCAGCCAUGCCGCGUGUGUGAAGAAGGCCUUAUGGUUGUAAAGCACUUUAAGCGAGGAGGAGGCUCUUUUGGUUAAUACCCAAGAUGAGUGGACGUUACUCGCAGAAUAAGCACCGGCUAACUCUGUGCCAGCCGCCGCAGUAA
Molecule: ribosomal RNA, 503 nt
Filed under: uncultured bacterium
Lineage: Bacteria
Description: partial 16S ribosomal RNA
Rfam family: Bacterial small subunit ribosomal RNA
Source: RNAcentral